GGGAGCCGGGCUCAGGCUCGCACCCGCACCGCGGGCGCGGCGGACCCGAGACACAGAGCGCAGCCCGGCCUCCGGACCGUGUGAGGGGAGGGACCGACAGCCCGCGGCUCGGAGCGCAGAUCUAGGACUGGCUUGCACAACCUCCUUGCCUAUAGAAUGGGAAAUUGAUCCAUGUAUUUCAGUCUGACCUUGUAAACAGCUGAAGAAACUGAAGGAAAUCUUUUGGAAAGUGACAAGUGGAAUGUGCAUAGCAAUCCAGAGCUUACCCCUAAGGUAACAGCUUGCAGUCAAGAAAUUUAGCUCUGAGCUCAGUUGGGACAGAUUCCCUGGGAGGUUUCCAUGGAAGAUGAAGGAGCUUGUGAGUGCUGUCAGUUUUUCAAGGACACUCCUGGAAGCACAAAACCAGUUCAUGCUCUCUAAGGGUAAGGAAAGCAGGUGGAAUUAGAGACUCCCUUGGCUUAAAUGUGAGCUUUUGGGUCUGCUCAAAACCAGAAGAGAAGCAUACCAGAGAUGGAAAACCCAUGGAGAACUACAAGGGCAUUGCCAGAGUGGGCAGAUGCAGUUAGAAAAGCAAAAGCUCAGCUCAAAUUGAAAUUGGCCAGAGGUCAAAAACACAAAAAAGGGUUCUUCAGGUACAUGAACAACAAAGAGAAGGAAAUACUGGCCCACUGUUCAGCAGCAGAGGUGAAUUGGUCACCCAUAGUGCUGAAAAUGCAGGGAUUCCCAACACAUUCUUCACCUCUGUUUUCACCUUGGGAACAGGUCCUGGGAUCAAAAAUCCAGGAUUAUGAAACACCAACAGACUGUCAGUGAAAGAAGAGCUUGUCUGUGAACUAUCACAGGAGCCUGACCUCUACAAAUUGAUGGGUCCUGAUGUUACGCAUCCAAGGGUUUUAACAGAGCUGUUUGAUGUCAUUCCAAGGAUGCUCUCCAUAAUCUUGGAGAAGUUGUGGAUAUCAGGGAACGUCCUAGAAAACUGAAAGAAGGCUAAUGUCAGCCCAUCUACAAGAAGGGCCUAAAGGAGGAUCCAGGAAAUUACAGGCCUGUGAGUUUUAUUCCAUUCCCUGGGAAAGUUGGAGAACAAAUUUUCCUGGGGGCUCUCACAUGUCAAAUGAAGCACAUGAUUGGGAAAAGCCAACAGGGAUUCACCAAAGGCAAGUCAUGCUUGACAAACCUGAUCACCUUAUGACAACACAAGGCCCUGCCCAGCUGAUGUGGGGUGAGCAAUGGCCAUUGUCUCCAAGGCUUUCGAUGAGUCCUCCCAGAGACUUCUCCUAAAGUGCUGGAUACAUUAGGAUCUGGACUGGUCCAUGCAGUGGAUGGGGAACUGGCUAGCCAGACACAGCUAGAGGGUGGUGGUAAAUAACUAACUCCUUUUCAAACUGGCAGCCUGUGACAAGUGGGGUCACCCAGGGAUGGAUAUUGGGCUCACAUCUGUUUAAUAUCUUCAUAAUUGAUCUGUAUGGGAUCAAGUGUAUCCUGAUGAAGUUUGCUGAUAAUACCAAGCUGAGGGGGAAAGUGGACACUUUGGGAGGGAGAGCCACCCUGCAGGAGGACCUGGAGAGACUGGAAUAGAGGGCUGCCAAGAACCAUAUGAAGUUCACAGAAUACACUGAAUCAUGAGGUAGGAAGAGACCAUAAAGAUCAUCAAGUCCAACCCAGCCCUAACACCUCAACUAAACCGUGGCACCAAGUGCCACAUCCAGUCUUUUUUCAAACACAUCCAGGGAUGGUGACUCCACCACCUCCCCAGGCAAAUCAUUCCAGAACUUUAUGACUCUUUCAAUGAAAAAGAUUUUCCUAAUAUCCAAGCUAUAUUUUCCUUGGCACACAGGUUGCACAAGGACAAGAUUUUGCACCUGGGAAAAUACAGUCCAGGAGUGCAGCACAGGUGGGGACCUGGCUGACUGGGUAGCAGCUCUGUGGUGAGGGACCUGAGGGUCCUGGUAGACAGCAAGCUCAGUAUGAGUGACCAGGGUGCUGCUGCUGCAGCAAAGAAAGCCAAGAAAGGCUGAACAGGGUCCCUUCAACCUGGUACUAUGUGAUGCUAGGAUCAAACUGAGAUCUUACAGCCUAAUUACUGGUUGUAAUUUGUCAGCCCUACAUAACUGGAUGCCAUUCACUGUGGAUGACUGGUCUGCUUUUUAAAGAACAUAGCUGAAAUUAUUCAUCCUUAUUAGAAAUUUUGUUCAAUAAAUACUUUAAAAUAAGCUGCAACAGAAUGAAAAAUUUUCAGCCAGAAGAAAUAUGCAUAGGAAGAAAAUUUCGCACCCAAAAUGGCAAAGUAUUUCAAAUGUUUCUGUUAAAACAUUAAAAAAGAUCAACACAAAAGUUUAAUGAUGUAGUCUCAAGCUUGCAGACACAGGAAGCAUGCUACCAUAAAAUCAGGGGAAAUAGAUUAGCAAUCUAGAGACCAGAUGGUUAGUAUUUACUUGCUGACAUAACACCACCAAAUGUUCCUAAAUUUCUUUUUUAAAUUUGUCUUUCACAUUACAUUAUCAGCAUAGGAACUGAUCUUGCAAACAUAUACAUAAAGAUUUCAAUAUAUUUAUUCAUUUGGGAAGUCCCAUUGACUUUAGAACAGGAGACUGUUCACAGAACCAGGCUGUCAACUUGGGGUAAGUCUACAGAGUUUUAAACUAUUUGCCUACACCGAUUUGGGCAGGCUGUCUGUGAAAAAAAUAAAAUAAAAUCUUGUUUACAUCUUUUUGUUCUGUUUUUUUUUUCUUUGCAAGAGAGAGGAGUUUAUGGAGAAUAUGAUAAAAGAUAUUCCCCAUCCAUAAACUUCUGGUCUGGUGGAUAACUGUUAAACUUGGCAGGGCCUGCAAUAAACUGAAGUCUUAAAAUGCUUCUCCAGUUUGAAGUCAAGGAGUAAAAAUACAUUUUUAAAAAUUUACAAACAUUUUUACCCUGCAAAUUUUUAAUACCAGUGUGAGAAAAUGUUGCUUAAUUAUUACAAGAUCCUCCUACAAAUUACUUAACCUCUCUCCUCUGUGAAAAAUAUUCUUGAUUCCAAGUGUUUGCUCAGUGCCUUAUUUUUCUCUGGUGGGAAAAACUGUCAUUCCUUGCUCUACACUGUUUGUGACUUAAAGUUACCUCUAGGGGCUCUCUAUUCAAAACAUACAGAAUUUCUCUAGCAUUAGCUUUUCAUACUCAAAGUUUUCUCCUUUAGCUUUAUGUUUUUUCUUUCAUUUUCACUUUCUAAAAUGUUGUGUUCCCUCAUCUCUGUCAUUAUGGGGUUUUUUUGGAGGCAUUUACAUUGCCCUUUUGUCCAACAUACUUUUCCCCAUCUUUCAUCAAAAUCUGCUUCUCAGUUGCUUGCAUGUUUCUCAACGUCUCAUUUUCUCAUCUGCCUCCUCAGGUUCCUUUUCCUUUAUUGUCACAUCACUUACAAAGUCACCUGCCUCCAGGCAGUGUAUUUCCUUCCCUAUUUAAUUUUUUCCAUUUGCACCAUCUGUGUGUGUACAUGUAAUACAAGCACUUCAUUUGGUGAAAGUGAUAUCAAACUGAGUUGGCCCCGUUACUGCCCUGAAAAUAAGAAAUUUGUUUUCCUGUGCUACAGUUUCUUUGUUGAGCACACCUCUAGAAGCCAUGAGGGAGUUCCUUUAAUGUCAUAGUUAAAAUGAUAAACUUGGAUAACUCCUCAUGUGCUCCCCUUGAAUACUUAUUAUACUCAGCUCCCUACUCUUACAGACACAGAAGCAGUGUCUGUCUCUGUUUUGCAAAACCAGGAAUUCUACCAAGAAUUUUAAUCCUAGGCAGGUCUUUCAAGUUAUCAUUUGUCUGAAUAUCACAAACAUUCAAAUAUCUGUACCUGCAGCUAACUGUCCUGUACAGAUGAGAAAGCUGUGACUACCUUAAACAAAAAAAAAAAAGAAAUCCCCACAAAAAACACUCAACCUGUUUUUUCAAGUAAAUCUCCAGUCUCUACAGAAACAAAAGGAAUAGCAGCAAAAGGAAACUAUGGGUAGGUGGGAAUUUUCAAUUUGUCAAAAAGCAUUAGAAAAGUUCUGCCAUGCAUAAAACUUGUAAUAUUUGUCUAAAGCUUUGUUGUGUUCACUCUCUAGGCAAAAACAGGGCUAGAACACAGGUAGUCUGCAUAGAAGCUCUCAAGAGUAAAUGGUAUAUAAAGCAACAAAACUAGUGUUGAUACAAGAAAAAAUUGGUAUAAAUUAAUCAGGAAUAAUCCUAGAAGCAUCCUAGAAUCUUACAAUAAUAGCAAUCUUCAUUUACCUGUUUGUAAUGCAGGUCUUCAUAUAAUUUUGGAGACAAAACACCUAAUUCAUUUUAAGAAACAGGUUCGCACAUUUACAAAAGGGAUUAUAUAGCAUGGUUCCUCGUGGUAGCAAGCAAGGAAUCAGAUUUUCUCCAUGCUUGUGUUCCUACAGAUCUGGAGCUGUAAUAACAGGAAGGAGGGGGCUACCUACUCUGCAGUACAAGGUUCAGCUGGGCUGCCAUUGUUACUGCUCAUUAAUUGGAUUUAAUUGCCAUAUGAUUUAAGUAGAUAGUUAGAGUAAAUACUAUUAAUUCCUGUGGAGUCAGGGGAGAAUUUCUUUAUCUCUUGCUGUAAACAAGUUAAAGUGUCAGGAGGCACUGAACAUGUAGCUUACCUGAACGCAUGACAGAUCUACAUUUGAAAUGUGUAAAACGAUCUUGGCAGAAUCAGAAAAGAAACUUGGCACUUUUCCAAUCAUGCAAUCCCUGUAGUAAAGGUGGGGUGAGGGACAGUUACUUUGUUUAUAUUUCAGCAGCCACCAUUUUCUCCAAAUUCAGUCUUCUACUACAUUUGCCUUAUCGUGUUAUCAUUAAUUAAAAUCAGUAGGAAUGGGCCACAUUUAGAUAUUUAAUAACUUUUAAUCUUCAUACCUGGAGGUCUUUCUAAGAAAUAUUUCCACAUAUUAAUUUGCUUGGUGAAUAUAACCUUCAUCCUGUUCAGCAAGCAUAAUUAGCGAUUAAUUUGUUGUGUCAGGGAUUUAAAACUUUUUAGCUCACCUUUAGGCAACAACACAUUAAAUUGUAUAGGAGAAUGCAAACACUUUCAAAGACAAAGUUUUAAGAGGGGACAUUAUUCAAUAGUGAAAAUGGAAAAUGGCCUGAGUUCCUUGUACUAAUUCUUUAGUUUCUAUAUUGGAAUCCAACCUUGGCCAACACAGUAAAACAGGCAGAAAUAUGGGGGUUUUUAAGAACAUAAAAGGAAAGGCAUAUAGGAAAUUCUGCCGGCCAAUUUUCGAAUUUAAGUGAAAGAUUAUUUAAAUGUCACGUUUUAUGGGGGAGCCAUCCCGAGCUGGUGCUGCAUCUCAGCUCGCUGGGUACCAUCCUCCGUGCCUGCGGCUCCCUCGUGUGGUGCAUCCCUGUCCAUCUGGGCACCAGCACC
Long non-coding RNA from Zonotrichia albicollis (white-throated sparrow), 5374 nucleotides. RefSeq lists it as uncharacterized. The record is from RefSeq and is a predicted model, not a curated record. NCBI's taxonomy places the organism in Eukaryota, Metazoa, Chordata, Aves, Passeriformes, Passerellidae.